GCCGAUGUAGCUCAGCUGGCCAGAGCAAUGCUUUCGUAAAGCAGAGGUCGGCGGUUCAAAUCCGCCCAUCGGCUCCA
This 77-nucleotide transfer RNA is filed under the name bacterium. RNAcentral describes it as "tRNA-Thr". It matches the Rfam family "tRNA". Rfam says of the family: Transfer RNA (tRNA) molecules are approximately 80 nucleotides in length. The record is from RNAcentral.